Molecule: long non-coding RNA, 2704 nt
Organism: Daphnia pulex (common water flea)
Lineage: Eukaryota; Metazoa; Arthropoda; Branchiopoda; Diplostraca; Daphniidae
Exons: 8
Source: RefSeq, a predicted model, not a curated record
GGGGUAGUUUUUGUGAUAGAAAUGUAAAUGUAAACAAACAAUAGAUUUAGAAUGCAUUCGAAGAUUCGUGUAUUAUCAAAGGAAAAGUAAUUCAAAAUGUUUUCCAUGCCUAAAAAAAAUUGGCGUUUACUUCCGAAUUUUAUUUAAGUUAAUAUUUCUUGUUUCGGUAUUCCCAAGUUUCACUGUAUUCAUUCAGCUUUUUGUUAUGUCCUAGUCCUAGUCCUAGUCCACAGACACAUACCAACAGUUGCUUCCAUUGAAAAAAAAACAAUUAAACAUUCAGCAACUUGUGUAAACAGUUAAAUAAUUGGCCUCUUACUAAAUUAAGUCAUUUCAGGAACUUCAGCAUGUUCUUCAGUAUAUCGAAACAGUGCCAACCCACCUGUGCCAAACUACAUGUUUACAACUGAUAAUUCUUAAUCACCCAGAUGCAGAAAAGUUUAAUCUUUAAACUGAAUUUGUUCUACAGGAGUAAAUGUAGCAUGGAUCAACUUCCAGUGACCAACUUCCAGUGACCAACUUGUGGCUAGAGUCGAUACUUACAAGGGUAUUAGUUGCAAUGCUUCCUGACAUGGCAAAUUAUUCCAUAGCAGAAAAAGAUGCUAUGUGUCGAAAAGCUAAAGUGUUUUUCCACUGUGAUGGAGCCAAAGCUGUAGGUAAAAUUCCAAUUGAUGUUGAAUCGAUGUAAAUUGAUUUAUAAAGGUGUUGGUGCUCUUUACGUGAUAGGCCGACCACGGGUUAGGAUUGAAGCUCUGCAAAGUGGAGGUGGUCAGGAAUGAGGGAUACGUAGUGGAAGUUCCUACUCCACUGACAGAUUGACAGUUAGUUUUGGCGCAGCAUGUGAAGUAGCUCAGCAAGAACUUAAGUAUAAUCACGCCAGAUUAGUAAACUAUCGCAACGCUUGAUCGAUCAGAUUGGUAAUAGUUUAACACAUGUCGUACGAAACUGAGAUCCUGAACACUCCUACCCAGGUUGUGUAAACCUUUCUUUCGCCUACGUCGAGGGAGAAAGUCUUUUCAUGGCCCUGAAAGACGUGGCACUCUCAAGCGGAAGUGCUUGCACCUCAGCAUUGCUGGAACCUUCAUAUAUAUUUUGCGUACCAUUGGCGCUGAAGAUUUUGCGCAUUCUUCUAUUCGAUUUGGAAUCCGAAGCUGAGGUUGAUUACACGGCAGAAAAGUGUAUUCAUCAAGUAUCACCAAACUUCGAGAAAUGAGGUAUAUGGGACCGGGUUUGGAAUGCCCCGACAAAAAGUUUAUUUCACUUCCGCUAAAAAUGUUAAUUUGUCCUUCUUCCUUAUUUCUUAUUUGUUUAUUUUUGUCGAAAUGAAAAUUUAUAAAUGCAACGGUUUUCUUUUUUUAAAUUAUGAUCAGUGUUUAAAAAAAGUAGAAGAGAUACAGAGUACAAUAAAAUAAAAAAUAACGACAAGAAAAUGAAGCACAAGAACAAGACUGCCUAAUUACAAAAUUCUUUCAAGAUAGCUCUGUCACUUAGCCGAAGGCCAACGCUUGCAACGCGAGCCCUAGUAUAGGUCUCUCACAGUCUGUGCCUUUAUACCUUAGAAGCCCUUUUCACGUCACGUUUCUGGAUCGCUUUCUGCCCAGCCAGUUUUUUCUCUAAUCUACUUAACUGUAUUAUAGACAUGAGCAUUUGCGGUUGAGUUAUUUUAAUUACGCAAUUCUUGAGUUUGACCUCUAUUUUUAUGCCUGCAACCUGCAUCCUAAAUAAAUUUUCUUUUUUAAAAUCUAACCCAUAAGGAAAUGUCAAAAGAUAAGAUUGAGAAUGCUUAAGCAAGCGGUACAAUAAUGAUCGUGUUUCUGAAUUUAUUAUUUACUAUUACUAUUUAUUAUUUUUAAUUUAUCUUGCACAAAAUCAAAGAAUUUUUUGCUAGCUCUCCGAUUCCGAUUUCGAAAUUUUAACAAUGAAUCUUGAUUCUUUGUUUGAAUAACGAUGAGUUGCAUAAACAAAUCUGUACAUGUUGGCUUUACAAUCAGAUAAUAAGCGGAUGAAAAAACGUGAGUUAUCUGACUUUAGAGUUUGAUUUGACUCCGGAAUAAUAGUCUUUUCGAUUUCGAUCAAUUUCCGGAUUUUGACAGGUGGCAGCACUGCUUCGUUGCCAUGGCAAUGGCAUUUAAUAACAGCAGACACUAAUGAAAAACGUCAAUCGAAUCGACAUUCAUUUUUCUUGGCUAUUUUAUUACGAUGUCAAAAAUAGAAAAAAAGACGCAAUCGAAUGGUUCCCAAGAUGGGAAUCAUUUUUCAAGUGAUAUAUGAAAGAACUGUCGACAAUAUGUCGCUCGGUUUUCUUUAUAAAUCGCAUAACCUGCAGUCUUUUUGCUGACAAAGCUAUUUCUUUUUUGUUGGAUAAUGUGCUUUCACUAGGUAUUUUCACCUCCCCAAAUGCGGCCUCAUCCUGUGAUUGAUGAUGGACUCUCAAUUUUGUACCCCAUUGCUUUUAAGUUCUUUCUGCGAACUGGACGUAUAAUUUUCCUUCAAGUCAUACGAAAGCGACCCUCAGUCAUUGGUGUGGGUCCUUUGAUAAGUUAGCAAAACACAAAUGGGACGUACGCCCUCUGCAAUCGUGCUAGUAUUUCGUUUACAAAAUUGACCGCCAAUUCAUUGACGUUAAUCUUGAAAUAAUUUUUGAUGAAAUCAAUUGAUUAGUCAACUAAUAAUAACCGUGGAUCAAUAAACAGGUUUGACUCGA